RNAcentral lists this ribosomal RNA (488 nucleotides) under uncultured bacterium. RNAcentral's name for it is "bacterial SSU rRNA". It matches the Rfam family "Bacterial small subunit ribosomal RNA", at positions 18 to 518 of the family's 1533-position model. The record is from RNAcentral.
CCUGGCUCAGAACGAACGCUGGUGGCGUGUCUUAUACAUGCAAGUCGAGCGAGGCAGCAAUGCCGAGCGGCGAACGGGUGAGUAACGCGUAAGCAAUCUGCCCCAUAUCAGGAAAUACCCGUGCCAACGCGCGGUUAAUGUCCAGGAGAGUGGCCUUCCGCAUGGAAGGUUGACUAGAGAUUUAUCGGUAUGGGAUGAGCUUGCGUCCGAUUAGCUAGUUGGCGGGCAACGGCCCACCAAGGCGACGAUCGGUAGCCGGCCUGAGAGGGUGAUCGGCCACAUUGGGACUGAGAUACGGCCCAGACUCCUACGGGAGGCAGCAGUAGGGAAUAUUGCACAAUGGGGGAAACCCUGAUGCAGCAACGCCAACGUGUGGGAAGAAGCAUUUCGGUGUGUAAACCACUGUCAUGAGGGAAUAAGGCCCGCCUUCGGACGGGAUUGAAUGUACCUUGAGAGGAAGCACCGGCAAACUUCGUGCCAGCCGCCGC